UUAAAUUGAAGAGUUUGAUCAUGGCUCAGAUUGAACGCUGGCGGCAGGCCUAACACAUGCAAGUCGAACGGUAACAGGAAUCAGCUUGCUGAUUCGCUGACGAGUGGCGGACGGGUGAGUAAUGUCUGGGAAACUGCCUGAUGGAGGGGGAUAACUACUGGAAACGGUAGCUAAUACCGCAUAACGUCGCAAGACCAAAGAGGGGGACCUUCGGGCCUCUUGCCAUCGGAUGUGCCCAGAUGGGAUUAGCUAGUAGGUGGGGUAACGGCUCACCUAGGCGACGAUCCCUAGCUGGUCUGAGAGGAUGACCAGCCACACUGGAACUGAGACACGGUCCAGACUCCUACGGGAGGCAGCAGUGGGGAAUAUUGCACAAUGGGCGCAAGCCUGAUGCAGCCAUGCCGCGUGUAUGAAGAAGGCCUUCG
RNAcentral lists this ribosomal RNA (425 nucleotides) under Escherichia coli. RNAcentral describes it as "bacterial SSU rRNA". It matches the Rfam family "Bacterial small subunit ribosomal RNA", at positions 1 to 420 of the family's 1533-position model. The record is from RNAcentral. Lineage: Bacteria; Pseudomonadati; Pseudomonadota; Gammaproteobacteria; Enterobacterales; Enterobacteriaceae.